GCUCUUCUGAUCUGGUCAAAGAUCUGAGGAGCACAUCUCAGGAAACACAGCUGUAUUUAAUUUGGAACAAACAAUAGUGGAAAAGAUUUUGCAUUAGUUUUGCCAUUACCUAUAUUUCACUGCCAACGAAGCAGUGCAUCCAACUAUAAUGUGAACAGUUUUUAUUAACGUAUGAUAAGUAUAAAAUAUAUAAUUCAUUAAUAUUAACACUGAUAUACAUUAAUCCUGUAUACUUUUGCUGUAUUUUAAAGGUAAACAAUAGUUUAAUAUUAAAGGAUAAAUAACA
Long non-coding RNA from Phyllostomus discolor (pale spear-nosed bat), 286 nucleotides. RefSeq lists it as uncharacterized. The record is from RefSeq and is a predicted model, not a curated record. The transcript has 3 exons. Lineage: Eukaryota; Metazoa; Chordata; Mammalia; Chiroptera; Phyllostomidae.